GGCUAUUACAGCUCUUUUAGAAUUUGUUUAGCAGGCUUUCUAGUCUUUAUUGGAAAGCACCU
Small nuclear RNA from Callithrix jacchus (white-tufted-ear marmoset), 62 nucleotides. Its record names the gene U7. It matches the Rfam family "U7 small nuclear RNA". Rfam says of the family: Animal histone pre-mRNAs are spliced by a different mechanism than nuclear pre-mRNAs and self-splicing introns. This processing involves the U7 snRNP, which contains only one RNA species: U7. The record is from Ensembl. Lineage: Eukaryota; Metazoa; Chordata; Mammalia; Primates; Cebidae.